UGAAGUAAGUAAGGGCGUACGGUGAAUGCCUUGGUGCCAACAGGCGAAGAAGGACGCGGCAAGCUGCGAAAAUCCUCGGGAAGCUGCAAGCAAGCGAUGAUCCGGGGGUAUCCGAAUGGGGUAACCUGAUCGAGGCAAUACUCGAUCGUUCAUACCUGAAUACAUAGGGUAUGAAACGCGAAACCCGCUGAAGUGAAACAUCUCAGUAAGCGGAGGAAAAGAAAGAGAAAUCGAUUCCGUAAGUAGUGGCGAGCGAAAGCGGAUGGAGCCCAAACCGAAGGUACUCCUUCGGGGUUGUAGGACCACGAGAUAUUCGACCAUACUGGAUAGUAGAACAGCCUGGAAAGGCUGGCCGUAGAAGGUGAAAGCCCUGUAGACGAAAUCCAGCGUGGGAAUUAGUGGGAUCCUGAGUAAUACAUCACACGUGGAACGAUGUAUGAAUCAGCGCGGACCACCGCGCAAGGCUAAAUACUAGUUGGCGACCGAUAGUGAACAAGUACCGCGAGGGAAAGGUGAAAAGAACCGCUGUGAGCGGAGUGAAAUAGAACCUGAAACCGUAUGUCUACAAAGUGUCAGAGCAGAGCAAUCUGCGAUGGCGUGCCUUUUGUUUAAUGAGUCUGCGAGUCAGUGUUUGUGGCAAGACUAAGGGCUUCCGGCCCGGAGUCGCAGCGAAAGCAAGUCCGAAUAGGGCGAAUUAAGUCGCAGGUACUGGACCCGAAGCGGAGGUGACCUACCCUUGGCCAGGUUGAAGCAUGGGUAAAACCAUGUGGAGGACCGAACAGGUGAACGUUGAAAAGUUCUCUGAUGAGCUGAGGGUAGGAGUGAAAGGCUAAUCAAACCCCGUGAUAGCUGGUUCUCUUCGAAAUGCAUUUAGGUGCAGCGUCACGUGCUGAUGCGCGGGGGUAGAGCACUGACAAGGCUAGGGGGCACACCCGCUUACCAAACCUUAUCAAACUCCGAAUACCGUGCAAUGGAACGUGGCAGUGAGACAGUGGGGGAUAAGCUUCAUUGUCGAGAGGGAAACAACCCAGACCAGCAGCUAAGGUGCCUAAAUAACGCUCAGUGGAAAGGAUGUGGGAUUACACAGACAGUGAGGAUGUUGGCUUAGAAGCAGCCACCAUUUAAAAAAUGCGUAAUAGCUUACUCAUCGAGUGAUCCUGCGCCGAAAAUGAUUGGCGAUCAAGCGUUAUACCGAAGCUCUGGACUUUACCUUAUGGUAGAGUGGUAGAAGAGCGUUGCAUGCGCGUUGAAGGGUGAUGGCGACUGACCCUGGAGCACAUGCAAGUGAGUAUGCAGACAUGAGUAACGUAAAGCCGGGUGAAAUCCCCGGCCGCCGUAAACCCGAGGUUUCCAGGGCAACGUGUUUCGUCCCUGGGUUAGCCGGGACCUAAGCCGAGGCCGAGAGGCGUAGGCGAUGGAUAUCAGGUUAAUAAUCCUGAGCUCGCGACCCUUAAACUGGGGGGACGCAUGAGAAAAGAUGACUAGGUUAUUGAAUUCCGAGUUGAGUCCACGGACUCAGCGCAUCAUUGGAUCGAGUGCCAAGAAAAGCCCCAGCGUAUGCUAAGCGACCCGUACCGCAAACCGACACAGGUGGGUGGGUAGAAUAUACCAAGGCGUAAGAGUGAAACCUGGUUAAGGAACUCGGCAAAUUAGCCCCGUAACUUCGGAAGAAGGGGUGCCUGCAGCGAUGCAGGCCGCAGAGAAAUGGCCCAACCGACUGUUUAUCAAAAACACAGCACUCUGCAAAGACGCAAGUCGAAGUAUAGGGUGUGACACGUGACCAAUGCCGAAAGAUUAAGGCAAGGGGUUAGCCGCAAGGCGAAGCUCUGAACCCAAGUCCCGGUGAAUGUCGGCCGUAACUAUAACGGUCCUAAGGUAGCGAAAUUCCUUGUCGGGUAAGUUCCG
This 1905-nucleotide ribosomal RNA is filed under the name human gut metagenome. RNAcentral describes it as "bacterial LSU rRNA". It matches the Rfam family "Bacterial large subunit ribosomal RNA", at positions 1 to 1985 of the family's 2925-position model. The record is from RNAcentral.